Paramuricea clavata is the source of this 252-nucleotide non-coding RNA. Lineage: Eukaryota; Metazoa; Cnidaria; Anthozoa; Malacalcyonacea; Plexauridae. The record is from the annotation of a GenBank genome assembly.
CACAUACGCACUGGGCAGGGGGUGCCAAAAAAGCGUACAAAGGGGGUGUUGGUUGUAUAUGCUAAAUGGAUGCCCCCCUAUGGGCUGAUCCUUUUGGGGGUCUCUUGAAAGUUUGCCCAAAUUUGUAUGGGGGACUGUGAUGAAAUAACCUCAAUAUAUUGCCUUAUUUUGUGGUAAAUGUUAGUUUAAUUAAAAGAAAACCAUGUCUUGUAUGGCUUCGUAAGCAAUAUGCCAUGUGAAAUAAUUGUCCGA